RNAcentral lists this ribosomal RNA (253 nucleotides) under uncultured bacterium. RNAcentral describes it as "partial 16S ribosomal RNA". It matches the Rfam family "Bacterial small subunit ribosomal RNA", at positions 524 to 776 of the family's 1533-position model. The record is from RNAcentral.
UACGAAGGGGGCUAGCGUUGUUCGGAAUUACUGGGCGUAAAGGGCGCGUAGGCGGCGUGUCAAGUCAGGCGUGAAAGCCCCGGGCUCAACCUGGGAACCGCGCUUGAGACUGGCAUGCUCGAGUUCGGGAGAGGAUGGUGGAAUUCCCAGUGCAGAGGUGAAAUUCGUAGAUAUUGGGAAGAACACCGAUGGCGAAGGCAGCCAUCUGGACCGACACUGACGCUGAGGCGCGAAAGCGUGGGGAGCAAACAGG